CAGGACGAACGCUGGCGGCGUGCCUAAUACAUGCAAGUCGAACGGUCUUUCUAUGGAAGCUUGCUUCCACUGAGAAGAUAGUGGCGAACGGGUGAGUAACACGUGGGUAACCUGCCCAUAAGAGGGGGAUAACAUCCGGAAACGGGUGCUAAUACCGCAUAGUUUUCUUGAUUGCAUGAUUGAGAAAGGAAAGACGGCCUUUGUGCUGUCGCUUAUGGAUGGACCCGCGGCGUAUUAGUUAGUUGGUGAGGUAACGGCUCACCAAGACGAUGAUACGUAGCCGACCUGAGAGGGUGAUCGGCCACAUUGGGACUGAGACACGGCCCAAACUCCUACGGGAGGCAGCAGUAGGGAAUCUUCCGCAAUGGACGAAAGUCUGACGGAGCAACGCCGCGUGAGUGAAAGAAGGUUUUCGGAUCGUAAAACUCUGUUGUCAGAGAAGAACAAGUUGGAGAGUAACUGCUCCAGCCUUGACGGUAUCUGACCAGAAAGCCACGGCUAACUACGUGCCAGCCGCGGC
This 520-nucleotide ribosomal RNA is filed under the name uncultured bacterium. Its description in RNAcentral is "bacterial SSU rRNA". It matches the Rfam family "Bacterial small subunit ribosomal RNA", at positions 25 to 518 of the family's 1533-position model. The record is from RNAcentral.